RNAcentral lists this ribosomal RNA (450 nucleotides) under uncultured bacterium. RNAcentral's name for it is "partial 16S ribosomal RNA". It matches the Rfam family "Bacterial small subunit ribosomal RNA", at positions 354 to 796 of the family's 1533-position model. The record is from RNAcentral.
GUGGGGAAUAUUGGACAAUGGGCGAAAGCCUGAUCCAGCCAUGCCGCGUGUGUGAAGAAGGUCUUCGGAUUGUAAAGCACUUUAAGUUGGGAGGAAGGGCAGUAAGUUAAUACCUUGCUGUUUUGACGUUACCGACAGAAUAAGCACCGGCUAACUUCGUGCCAGCAGCCGCGGUAAUACGAAGGGUGCAAGCGUUAAUCGGAAUUACUGGGCGUAAAGCGCGCGUAGGUGGUUUUGUAAGUUGGAGGUGAAAUGCCCGGGCUCAACCUGGGAACUGCCACCAAAACUGCAUGACUAGAGUACGGUAGAGGGUAGUGGAAUUUCCUGUGUAGCGGUGAAAUGCGUAGAUAUAGGAAGGAACACCAGUGGCGAAGGCGACUACCUGGACUGAUACUGACACUGAGGUGCGAAAGCGUGGGGAGCAAACAGGAUUAGAUACCCGGGUAGUCC